RNAcentral lists this ribosomal RNA (618 nucleotides) under uncultured bacterium. Its description in RNAcentral is "bacterial SSU rRNA". It matches the Rfam family "Bacterial small subunit ribosomal RNA", at positions 338 to 950 of the family's 1533-position model. The record is from RNAcentral.
CCUACGGGAGGCAGCAGUAGGGAAUCUUCCACAAUGGGCGAAAGCCUGAUGGAGCAACGCCGCGUGAGUGAUGAAGGCCUUCGGGUUGUAAAACUCUGUCAUUCGGGACGAACCGGAGUCUGAGGAAAUGCAGACUCUCUGACGGUACCGGAGGAGGAAGCCCCGGCUAACUACGUGCCAGCAGCCGCGGUAAUACGUAGGGGGCAAGCGUUGUCCGGAUUCACUGGGCGUAAAGCGCGCGCAGGCGGUGAUGUAAGUCUGAGGUGAAAACCCGAAGCUCAACUUCGGGACUGCCUUGGAUACUGCGUCACUUGAGGAUAGGAGAGGCAAGGGGAAUUCCACGUGUAGCGGUGAAAUGCGUAGAGAUGUGGAGGAACACCUGUGGCGAAGGCGCCUUGCUGGCCUAUUUCUGACGCUGAGGCGCGAAAGCGUGGGGAGCAAACAGGAUUAGAUACCCUGGUAGUCCACGCUGUAAACGAUGAGUGCUAGGUGUAGGUGGGCUCAUACCCAUCUGUGCCGAAGCUAACGCAUUAAGCACUCCGCCUGGGGAGUACGGUCGCAAGACUGAAACUCAAAGGAAUUGACGGCUUGAGACNGCGAGACGACACGAGGGAGAGG